RNAcentral lists this transfer RNA (67 nucleotides) under Phyllotreta striolata. RNAcentral's name for it is "tRNA-Thr". The record is from RNAcentral. Lineage: Eukaryota; Metazoa; Arthropoda; Insecta; Coleoptera; Chrysomelidae.
GUUUUAGUAAUUUAAAAAAAAAAUAUUGAUCUUGUAAAUCAAAAAUAAAAUAAAUUUUUCUAAAACU